AGAGUUUGAUCCUGGCUCAGAAUGAACGCUGGCGGCGUGCUUAACACAUGCAAGUCGCACGAGAAUUCUUCUGCUUGCAGAAGAUAGUAAAGUGGCGCACGGGUGGGUAAUGCGUGGGCAAUCUUCCCUUGAAUCGGGGAUAACAUCGCGAAAGCUUUGCUAAUACCGGAUGACAUCCAUUUGUCUGCGGGCGAAUGGAUCAAAGGUGGCCUCUACAUGUAAGCUACUGUUUGAGGAUGAGCCUGCGUACCAUUAGCUAGUUGGUGGGGUAACGGCCCACCAAGGCGACGAUGGUUAGCUGGUCUGAGAGGAUGAUCAGCCACACUGGAACUGACACACGGUCCAGACUCCUACGGGAGGCAGCAGUGAGGAAUUUUGCGCAAUGGGGGAAACCCUGACGCAGCAACGCCGCGUGAGUGAUGAAGGCCUUCGGGUCGUAAAGCUCUGUCAAGUGGGAAGAACCUGCAGAAAGCUAACAUCUUUUUGCACUGACGGUACCACUGAAGGAAGCACCGGCUAACUCCGUGCCAGCAGCCGCGGUAAUACGGAGGGUGCAAGCGUUAUUCGGAAUUAUUGGGCGUAAAGGGCGCGUAGGCGGCCGUUUAAGUCAGGUGUGAAAGCCCGGGGCUUAACCCCGGAAGUGCAUUUGAUACUGAGCGGCUUGAGUAUGGGAGAGGGAAGUGGAAUUCCUGGUGUAGAGGUGAAAUUCGUAGAUAUCAGGAGGAACACCGGUGGCGAAGGCGACUUCCUGGACCAAUACUGACGCUGAGGCGCGAAGGCGUGGGGAUCAAACAGGAUUAGAUACCCUGGUAGUCCACGCAGUAAACGGUGAUCACUA
Molecule: ribosomal RNA, 838 nt
Filed under: bacterium enrichment culture clone IsoM-20
Lineage: Bacteria
Description: bacterial SSU rRNA
Rfam family: Bacterial small subunit ribosomal RNA
Source: RNAcentral